RNAcentral lists this ribosomal RNA (804 nucleotides) under Salmonella enterica. RNAcentral describes it as "partial 23S ribosomal RNA". It matches the Rfam family "Bacterial large subunit ribosomal RNA", at positions 2130 to 2925 of the family's 2925-position model. Lineage: Bacteria; Pseudomonadati; Pseudomonadota; Gammaproteobacteria; Enterobacterales; Enterobacteriaceae. The record is from RNAcentral.
CUUGAUGUGUAGGAUAGGUGGGAGGCUUUGAAGUGUGGACGCCAGUCUGCAUGGAGCCGACCUUGAAAUACCACCCUUUAAUGUUUGAUGUUCUAACGUGGACCCGUAAUCCGGGUUGCGGACAGUGUCUGGUGGGUAGUUUGACUGGGGCGGUCUCCUCCUAAAGAGUAACGGAGGAGCACGAAGGUUGGCUAAUCCUGGUCGGACAUCAGGAGGUUAGUGCAAUGGCAUAAGCCAGCUUGACUGCGAGCGUGACGGCGCGAGCAGGUGCGAAAGCAGGUCAUAGUGAUCCGGUGGUUCUGAAUGGAAGGGCCAUCGCUCAACGGAUAAAAGGUACUCCGGGGAUAACAGGCUGAUACCGCCCAAGAGUUCAUAUCGACGGCGGUGUUUGGCACCUCGAUGUCGGCUCAUCACAUCCUGGGGCUGAAGUAGGUCCCAAGGGUAUGGCUGUUCGCCAUUUAAAGUGGUACGCGAGCUGGGUUUAGAACGUCGUGAGACAGUUCGGUCCCUAUCUGCCGUGGGCGCUGGAGAACUGAGGGGGGCUGCUCCUAGUACGAGAGGACCGGAGUGGACGCAUCACUGGUGUUCGGGUUGUCAUGCCAAUGGCACUGCCCGGUAGCUAAAUGCGGAAGAGAUAAGUGCUGAAAGCAUCUAAGCACGAAACUUGCCCCGAGAUGAGUUCUCCCUGAGACUUAGAGUCUCCUGAAGGAACGUUGAAGACGACGACGUUGAUAGGCCGGGUGUGUAAGCGCAGCGAUGCGUUGAGCUAACCGGUACUAAUGAACCGUGAGGCUUAACCUUACA